RNAcentral lists this long non-coding RNA (1773 nucleotides) under Taeniopygia guttata (zebra finch). RNAcentral describes it as "lncRNA (ENSTGUG00000023001.1)". Lineage: Eukaryota; Metazoa; Chordata; Aves; Passeriformes; Estrildidae. The record is from RNAcentral.
ACAGCGACCACCAGUGCCAGGGACCCUUGGCCUGGAGGUGCUUGGGCCGAUGACCUUCAGACUGGUGACCCUCAGACCAGACCCACCAUGUCCUGAAGAAGCUGUGAAACCUGAGGGAAACCCACCUGUGGAAGAGGUCCUUUUCAUGGAGGUUCGAUGGAGAAAAUGACCAUGGCAGAACUGCUCGUGCUCUUUAAACUACUAGGUUACCAGGGGAAGCAAGCAAAUGCUUACUGGUAUGUUGCUGCUUGGAGUAUAAGCUGAAAUAAUUUAGCUCUGCUACUAGGAAGAAUGCAUGAAUGGUGAAUGCCACUUACUAAUUUCAUAACAAUUAGGUCUAAACUAGCUUUGUGUGUAUAUAUAUAUAUAUUUAUAUAUCUAGCUAUAUAUUUAUUAGAUCUCUUAGGUUACAGGAAUGUUUGCAAUUUAGCAGUAAUCAUCUAAUUUAUAAGUUAAUAUUAUGAUGCAAAACAGUUCAAGUAAUGAUAGAUCAGCACCAUUCUCCUUAAUAUUUUUCUUAAGCUGGCAAAUAAGCAAUUGACUAUGAACAAUAGAAGGUAAAACAUUUAAAAAAAUAAUUAUUUUAUAUCAGUUUGUAUUCCUAUAAAGAGAAGAGGCAAGUAGAAACUGAUAUUAGAAUUACCCAAACUGACAAAUGGAAACACCAGAAGGAAAUUUAGAAAAGCCAUACUGAAAAGCUCUACUGCUUUUAUGAUUAAUGCAUCAUGUCUGGUCUCUGCUAAAUGCUAAAUUGAAAUAUGAAGGUUUGUACUAAAUAUGACAUUACUUGAGGUAAAACUAGCAAAGAGACCAAAAAUAAGUUAAUUAAAGAAUGUAAGCUUAGUUCCUAAUGAUUUCCUAAAUUCCUAAGAUGUGGGAAUACUGUUAAUACUAUAUUUACAUUUGGUACCUCAGUAUCAGAAGAACCAGGGGAGGAGAGGUCUAUGGCUCAUCACAGACAUUUUUUAUAUAAAGCCAGAAACCAUAUUGUCAUUUGAUAAAUGAGCCAAGAGCAAAACUUGACAGACAAAAAAAGAGUGAAAUUUUCAGCCUGGGGAAGGGUGGAGGCUCUGCAAGUUUUCCAGUGACAGUUCUUGUGUGGAUUUUUAUUUCUGUGAAGUAGCAGAUUCAGCUGAAGGUGUAAUAUGGAUAACUCUGUCAUACAGAUCUAAGCAAAUUUUGGAAUCCUAGGAACUGGUUGGUAUAUCAGUUUGCAAGAGUAAUUUUAGGUGCUUGAAUUAUCAAGAAAAUAGGGAUAAAUCCUCUCUAUUGCAUGCUUUCCAAAGCUAUUAUGAAAAGGGACAACUUGCAAUUGCAGGAAAUACCAAAGUUCUUUUGGAAGGGAAAAUAUCAAGAUCUUGGCACUUAAGACUGCACUGAAAGAGUUGGGGUUGUUUAGCCUGGAGAAGGCUCAAGAGCAGCCUUAUUGCAGCCUUUCAAAAAGUGAAGGGGACUUACAAGAAAGAUGAGGUGAAAAUUUUUAAUAGGGCCUGUAGCAGUAGGACAAGGAAUAAUGGUUUUAAACUAAAAGAGUGUAAACUCAGAUAAGAUAUGAGGAAAUAUUUUUUUAUUAUUAUUAUGAGGGUGGCAACACCAAGAGAAGUGGUGGAUGCCCCAUCUCUGGAAAUAUUUGAGGUCAGAUUGGGUGGGGCUCUGAAGAACCUGAUCUAGGCCCUGCUCAUUGCUGGGGUGUUGGAUUAGAUGACCUUUAAAGGUCCCUGCUAACUCAAAUCAUUCUAUGAUUCAAAUGAAAUAAAGAGUGGUUGUUGAUAG